This 419-nucleotide small RNA is filed under the name Histoplasma capsulatum. RNAcentral describes it as "hypothetical RNA". RNAcentral also lists the same sequence under 1 other name. Lineage: Eukaryota; Fungi; Ascomycota; Eurotiomycetes; Onygenales; Ajellomycetaceae. The record is from RNAcentral.
UUUGAACAAAAAAAUUCCGACUCUUGUGUAAAUCAUGGAAGGCUCAUGCAUUGACGCUAGAGUACGCAGUGGGCAAUCGAUCCAUCACGAAGUUCCAGCCGCAGUUAGUGAGGGUCAUUUGUCCAAGAAUACCAUCAUAUGGUUUGUCGGAUUCAAGGAGAUGGAGGUAUGUUAUACAUUGUAGGGCGGAAGGAUAUACCUAUAUAUGGCAAAAUGGGCGGAUCAGGCCUGAAGGAGUGAGUGUGUUGGUCAAUGUGCCAUUUUGUUGACUGUGGUAUCUUUCCGCUUUGCCCGUUUGUGGUGCAGCACGACUCCUGGUAUUGACACCCCAAAAAUGCCCCCUUGCAAUAUUCUGCUGCCGAAUAGAAAAAAGAAAAAAGGGCAAGGAAAGAAAAUAAAUCCAUGUCCAAAAUUUGGGG